RNAcentral lists this ribosomal RNA (578 nucleotides) under uncultured Methanomicrobiales archaeon. Its description in RNAcentral is "bacterial SSU rRNA". It matches the Rfam family "Archaeal small subunit ribosomal RNA", at positions 339 to 916 of the family's 1478-position model. Lineage: Archaea; Methanobacteriati; Methanobacteriota; Methanomicrobia; Methanomicrobiales. The record is from RNAcentral.
GCGCGAAAACUUUGCAAUGCGGGAAACCGUGACAAGGGAACUCUGAGUGCCCGUAAAAUCGGGCUGUCCAUCGGUUUAAAUAACCGGUGAAGAAAGGGCCGGGCAAGACCGGUGCCAGCCGCCGCGGUAAUACCGGCGGCUCGAGUGGUGGCCACUAUUACUGGGCUUAAAGCGUUCGUAGCUGGUUUGUUAAGUCUCUGGGGAAAUCUUCCGGCUUAACCGGAAGGCGUCUCAGGGAUACUGGCAGACUAGGGACCGGGAGAGGUGAGAGGUACUCCAGGGGUAGGAGUGAAAUCCUGUAAUCCUUGGGGGACCACCUGUGGCGAAGGCGUCUCACCAGAACGGCUCCGACAGUGAGGGACGAAAGCUGGGGGAGCAAACCGGGAUUAGAUACCCGGGUAGUCCCAGCCGUAAACGAUGUGCGUUAGGUGUAUCGGUGACCACGAGUCACCGAGGUGCCGAAGAGAAAUCGUGAAACGUACCGCCUGGGAAGUACGGUCGCAAGGCUAGAAACUUAAAGGGAAUUUGGGACGGGGGAGACACCACAAACCGAGGUGGAAGCCCUGGCCGGUUUUAAA